RNAcentral lists this ribosomal RNA (465 nucleotides) under uncultured bacterium. RNAcentral's name for it is "partial 16S ribosomal RNA". It matches the Rfam family "Bacterial small subunit ribosomal RNA", at positions 28 to 507 of the family's 1533-position model. The record is from RNAcentral.
GAUGAACGCUGGCGGCGUGCUUAACACAUGCAAGUCGAACGGAAAGGCCCAAGCUUGCUUGGGUACUCGAGUGGCGAACGGGUGAGUAACACGUGGGUGAUCUGCCCUGCACUUCGGGAUAAGCCUGGGGAACUGGGCCUAAUACCGGAUAGGACCACAUUUUGGAUGGUGUGGUGGAAAGUUUUUCGGUGUGGGGUGAGCUCGCGGCCUAUCAGCUUGUUGGGGGGGUAAUGGCCUACCAAGGCGUCGACGGGUAGCCGGCCUGAGAGGGUGGACGGCCACAUUGGGACUGUGAUACGGCCCGGACCCCUACGGGAGGCAGCAGUGGGGAAUAUUGCACUAUGGGCGCAAGCCUGAUGCAGCGACGCCGCGUUGUGGAUGAUGGCCUUCGUGUUGUAAACUCCUUUCGCUAGGGUCGAAGCGCAAGUGACGGUACCUGGAGAAGAAGCACCGGCUAACUACGUG